This is a long non-coding RNA of Pseudophryne corroboree (corroboree frog), 475 nucleotides long. RefSeq lists it as uncharacterized. The record is from RefSeq and is a predicted model, not a curated record. The transcript has 3 exons. Lineage: Eukaryota; Metazoa; Chordata; Amphibia; Anura; Myobatrachidae.
CCACUAGCCUGGGAUGCACUGCAGCAACCCGCUUUACCUGAUCUCUCCACCUCCCAGCAAGCAGUGAGUCAUGGGCGAUCAUUAGGAUCAUCACCUGCUUCUGGCUGCUCUUCUUGGUCUCAUCUCUCCCUACUACUAUUGCCUGCCUGUGUAACAGAACUCUGAGCUUGCUACUAGACCUCACUUUGUCUAAUCCUUCUGUGAGGACUGACAGUAUAUGAGUUGUUUGUGUCCUAGCAUGUCAAGACAGAUGCAUGGACAAAACAUGACUGAAAACACAGUGGGUGCUCACAGGGCCUGGCUCAGCCUCCCUUAGGCAGAGGAGCACAGGUUUGACCUCAGGAGGAAAUGCACCACUGGAAAACAACAUUGGAAAAUAAACUUUAUAUUCUGCAAAGUUUCUUCAGCUUUAAGUAACUAACUAAACACAAUAGGCAGUACCACUACUGCACAGAUAUUGGCAAACAUAGGCGUG